UACGUAGGUGGCAAGCGUUAUCCGGAUUCACUGGGUUUAAAGGGUGCGUAGGCGGAUUGGUAAGUCCGUGGUGAAAUCUCUAAGCUUAACUUGGAAACUGCCAUGGAUACUAUUAGUCUUGAAUAUUGUGGAGGUUAGCGGAAUAUGUCAUGUAGCGGUGAAAUGCAUAGAUAUGACAUAGAACACCAAUUGCGAAGGCAGCUGGCUACACAAAUAUUGACGCUGAUGCACGAAAGCGUGGGGAUCAAACAGG
Molecule: ribosomal RNA, 253 nt
Filed under: uncultured bacterium
Lineage: Bacteria
Description: partial 16S ribosomal RNA
Rfam family: Bacterial small subunit ribosomal RNA
Source: RNAcentral